GCGUGCAAAUUAUAUCGACGAGUCGAACUUGUCCUUGAGCAUAGACAACCUCCAGCAAGCAGCGAAUGCCAUUGCCGAUCAACCUACAUGUGGACACCACGCCCAUCCUGUAAAUACUGACCUGGAAAAUAUGCGCGCCAGGUUCCACCUGCAGAAGCUGUACGAGCGGUGUUGGCUUGGCCACGAACACGCAAAGGCACCCGUGUGACGGUUGUCGCCACCGGCUUAACGGAGGACUUCUCCCGACGUGUUGCGUCAUUUGUGGUUGGACAUCUUUAAGCCGGUCCAAGCAGGAGAGGGGUGAAAGGCAUUGAAGCAGGAGCGGAGGCACCGCGAACGCCGCGUUUGAUUGCAAAUAAAUCCACUUCUGGUGAAGCGCAUCGAAGUACUUUUCGUCAAAAGGUGUUUAUUAAAUAGCCUAUUUUAACUUCGAA
Molecule: non-coding RNA, 434 nt
Organism: Dermacentor andersoni
Lineage: Eukaryota; Metazoa; Arthropoda; Arachnida; Ixodida; Ixodidae
Source: RefSeq, a predicted model, not a curated record